RNAcentral lists this unclassified non-coding RNA (209 nucleotides) under Hevea brasiliensis (rubber tree). The record is from RNAcentral. Lineage: Eukaryota; Viridiplantae; Streptophyta; Magnoliopsida; Malpighiales; Euphorbiaceae.
GCCAAUUGUGGGCAAUUUGUUCCAGGUUUUUCAGUCCGCUUGGAAUGGUUCCAGUCAUUUCAUUAGUGGGUUUUGGUCUGUUUGAUAGAGGCUUCCCUGUGGUUGGGCGGUGCGUGGAGAUUGGCAUUCCCAUGCUUAUCCUAUUCAUAUCCUUCUCCCAGUACUUAAAGAACUUUCAGACAAGACAACUACCAAUACUUGAGCGGUUU